AAGCUCUUGUAGGUCGAACAGACCUUCAGUAAUUAAAUUCUUCUAUAAUCACUUGCUUAAUCCAACAUCGAGGUCGUAAUAAAUUUUGUAAAUCUGAUCUUUUUAAAAAUUUUACG
This 116-nucleotide ribosomal RNA is filed under the name Pealius mori. Its description in RNAcentral is "partial 16S ribosomal RNA". Lineage: Eukaryota; Metazoa; Arthropoda; Insecta; Hemiptera; Aleyrodidae. The record is from RNAcentral.